UCCCUGAUAGCUCAGUUGGUAAAGAAUCUGCCUGCAAUGCAGGAGACUCCAGUUCAAUUCCUGAGUCGGGAAA
Molecule: non-coding RNA, 73 nt
Organism: Bos taurus (domestic cattle)
Lineage: Eukaryota; Metazoa; Chordata; Mammalia; Artiodactyla; Bovidae
Source: Rfam